Molecule: unclassified non-coding RNA, 333 nt
Filed under: soil metagenome
Description: partial contains 5.8S ribosomal RNA, internal transcribed spacer 2, and large subunit ribosomal RNA
Rfam family: 5.8S ribosomal RNA (bases 2-120)
Source: RNAcentral
CAUGAAGAACGUAGCGAAAUGCGAUAAGUAAUGUGAAUUGCAGAAUUCAGUGAAUCAUCGAAUCUUUGAACGCACAUUGCGCCCGCCAGUAUUCUGGCGGGCAUGCCUGUCCGAGCGUCAUUUCAACCAUCAAGCCCCGGGCUUGUGUUGGGGACCUGCGUCCGACGCAGGCCCCGAAAACCAGUGGCGGGCUCGCUGUCCACACCGAGCGUAGUAGCUAACCUCGCUCCGGAGUGGCGCGGGCGCCUGCCGUAAAACCCCCCAAUUUUACAAGGUUGACCUCGGAUCAGGUAGGAAUACCCGCUGAACUUAAGCAUAUCAAUAAGCGGAGGA